ACAUUGACGCCUCAUUUCUAAUACAGACACAGAGGUGGGUGGUGCUGUCGGUCGUCUCUCUCACUUGCCAGAGCCUUCGUGAGAUGUAAUGAUGGAUCCAGUUACUGUUGUGUUAAAGGCCAGUUUGGUGCAUCAAUGGUCGUUAGCAUGGAUAGUACAACACCUUAUUUAUUGAGGAUGAUGACUUCAAGAUGGAGGAAAUGAUGACCACAAGAGUUCAUCUGGUGACCUGACUCAUGAUGCACCAGACACAAGUCAGGUUAGUAGGUUCUGGACCUUGUCAAGGAGAGGUGUGCACUCUGCUGUACCAUACAUCUUCCCUCACUUGUACUGCUGUACCAGGCUUCUCUCCUCCAAUAUCAGGAUGGCAAGUGAUUCACAACACAACUAAAGGAAGGAAGGAAGGAAGGAAGCAAGCAAGCAAGCAAGCAAGCAGGUGAUACAGCCCAGACCCAGCCAUCCACCCCUCCUUUCUACCUCAGAAAUGUUGUUCUGAACACUGGAGUGCCGUGCUGCCCUAGACUGUGCUUACUGGCUACUGCCUUGGACUUCCCUGUACUUGCUUGCUGGCUGCUGCCCUGGACGGCUCUGCUCUGUGCUUGCUGCCCUGGA
Homarus americanus (American lobster) is the source of this 612-nucleotide long non-coding RNA. RefSeq lists it as uncharacterized. The record is from RefSeq and is a predicted model, not a curated record. The transcript has 5 exons. NCBI's taxonomy places the organism in Eukaryota, Metazoa, Arthropoda, Malacostraca, Decapoda, Nephropidae.